RNAcentral lists this unclassified non-coding RNA (420 nucleotides) under Hevea brasiliensis (rubber tree). The record is from RNAcentral. Lineage: Eukaryota; Viridiplantae; Streptophyta; Magnoliopsida; Malpighiales; Euphorbiaceae.
GUGGUAGUUGAAAGCUGUCCACAUAGUUUAUUUCAAAUUUCAUCUUCUUUGCAUUUCCAUUGAACAUACGGUUCAGAACAUGGUGAAGAUAUUAAAUACAAAUCCGAAAAUACUAUCUACAUAUCGCUGAAAAAGAAGCAAACUAUGUGGACAGCUUUCAACUACCACAAGAUGGAUGCAGUUACUGCAACCUCUACACAGAUCAGAAUGCAAAAUAUUACAAGUCUGAAAAAUACUGAAAGUGAUUAAUUAACUAUUCCUAAUUCAGCCCAACAGUCCAGUUCAUCUUGUCCUCUGUAAGGCCCAUCUGUAGCCUAGUAAGCGCAGUAUACAGCUGCUGCGAAACAGCACCAAAGCCACCUUCCUCGUAAGACACCCUUUUACCCUUAUAAGUGAUGCUGCCCACAGGUGACACAACCA